CUUGCUGAGGUGCGAGUCCAACUUUCAUGAAGGCAGACUGACUGGAGUCCAAGCUGGUUUGUUAGCUUGAAAACAGCUGGAAAGUUCGUGUUUAGUUUCAGUUCUGCUUUUAACCAGUACCUUUGGUUGGUUCUGCCUGCGAACAGCUAACUCUUAUAGUUUACAUAGCCAGUAAAGCUAAAGAUUAAGCAGACACUUGUGAAUUGACAUUAGACGAUUUGCCGCUUCACACUUCACUCCAGUCGGCGGCGCUAAUGCGCUAAUAAGCUGACUGAACAGCCGACAUUUAAAAGACAACGAAGCGGCACCGGAAGCAGCCAGUUGUGUGCCGUGUCUGCCUCGGCUGGGACACAUGUGAGACCGGUCACUUUGAAGCCGCUCCUGGGCUGGACGUUACUUGGGUUCUCAAAGGUCUUGCGGGGCAGUUAAGCCACCGAGUCCACAAAGCUGAACCUAAACCAGGUUCCUCUGCAAGACAACAUCUGUUUGACAACACGUGAGUGACCAUGAAGAAAACCUGAAGUUAAUAACGUUUGCCUUCGUGCGGUCAGCCGCUACCUCAGCUCAUCGCUCAGUGACGUCCACAUGUUGGCAGCAUCAGAGGACCCCCCCCCCACCCCCCGGUAGGCCUGUCACUGUCGUCACACAGGAGACCACUGAGCAGUAACUGUGUUGUAGUGUCACAUUCAUGUGUUUAUUUGGAUGUUUUGUUUUUUUAAGCCUUAUAUUAGUUUGUAUUUGCAACGAUUUAAUUCAAUAAAACUCGUGACAACAUCG
Scatophagus argus is the source of this 777-nucleotide long non-coding RNA. RefSeq lists it as uncharacterized. The transcript is spliced from 4 exons. The record is from RefSeq and is a predicted model, not a curated record. Lineage: Eukaryota; Metazoa; Chordata; Actinopteri; Scatophagidae.